UACGGAGGGGGCUAGCGUUGUUCGGAAUUACUGGGCGUAAAGCGCGCGUAGGCGGCUUUGUAAGUUAGAGGUGAAAGCCCAGAGCUCAACUCCGGAACUGCCUUUAAGACUGCAUCGCUAGAAUUGUGGAGAGGUGAGUGGAAUUCCGAGUGUAGAGGUGAAAUUCGUAGAUAUUCGGAAGAACACCAGUGGCGAAGGCGACUCACUGGACACAUAUUGACGCUGAGGUGCGAAAGCGUGGGGAGCAAACAGG
RNAcentral lists this ribosomal RNA (253 nucleotides) under uncultured bacterium. RNAcentral's name for it is "partial 16S ribosomal RNA". It matches the Rfam family "Bacterial small subunit ribosomal RNA", at positions 524 to 776 of the family's 1533-position model. The record is from RNAcentral.